CAGCUCGCGCUUCGGUUGCUCAAACAGCUUAAACCCCUUUAAUAGCUGUUUUAAUCUGCUUUUGAGAUCAAACUAAACUCAAAACUUUAAUAUUUUAGGUUUGGGGUUUGUUUAAAUCACUAACCCGGGCUAUUUUGAGCCACACUCUCUGGAGUUUAUAAUGAUCCACGCAAGCUAAAUGUCCUACAGCUUUUGCUGUGCUUUUCAUAAAUGUCUUAAUUGAUGUUUGUGUUUGUUUGGCCUUCACUUUAUGAGCUCUGUCUCAGGUUCAUCUCUCACCUCUCCAGAGCAUUCAAGCACGACAGCCGUAAUGAACUUAAUAACCGUGAAAUGAAGUUUUGUGAUCUGCGGAGAGGAGGGAAGUUUCUAUCCAGUCUGUGCCAGAUAUUGACAGUGUAAAUGCAGCCUUUUAUGUUUCGUGCUGUAAGGACAUUUCAUCCCAGAUCUCGAGCCCUCGGGUCCACAGAUGAACCGUAGGCUGUGAUCUGUGGUCCUGGCAGUGCCCGCGUUUGGCGGGGCUUCAGAUCGCCCUCUUGUCUGCCAUCUGAUUCUACACCUGCCAAACUCCACGGCUCCCAUCUGCCCUUUACAACAUGACCUCAUCGGCACGGCACGUCACUCACGUGUUUCAGGAGGAAAGCGUUGUUCUAGAGAGACUGCCAAGUCCUGGAUUCUCGGCUUCAAACAAGGUGUUGCAAGGUGGGACACCAACUAAUCCAACAACACCUGAUCUAUUAAACGCUUUAAAGGUCAUUUCUGCAUCAUGAAAUGAUAAUAUAAUGACUAUUUCCAAACAGGUUUUCCAAACUGGAAUCAGAAAGAAUAGUUUGCUCAUACUAGUUCUUAUGAGAGAAAAUCAUGGGAUAAUUUUAAUUUUUUGGGUGAACUGUCCCUUUAAUUCCAUUGUGUCUUGUGGUUUAAUUUCAUCCUGUUUUUGUUUGCCUUGUAAAUUUUGUUGCAUCUGACACCUAUUGGCACCCAUAUAACCGUAUUAACGGCAGAAUAACCUGCAAAUUGACAAAAAUCUGGCUAUGCAACACUAGGAUCCAGUAAAAGUUUCAUUCCGGGCCUCGUGAAUGAAUGUGUUGGCACACAAGUAAAUGAGUUCAGGCAGCUCAGAUGAGUCAUUACCGCAUUCAGUUAACUCAGCAAUUUGCUUGUAAUGUGCGUUUGAAUGGCAGCAGACCGGAUGCUCUGAUGUCAUCAUCACGAUGACGCAUCCUGUUUCAUUCCUGAAAGUUUUUUUUUUUUUUUUCACUCAUUAGCAUGCACUUAUCGUCACUUCUGCCAUUUGUCUCGUUGCACUGAUGACAGAUACGAACCAUAGUGUGAAUUAUA
Megalobrama amblycephala (Wuchang bream) is the source of this 1338-nucleotide long non-coding RNA. RefSeq lists it as uncharacterized. The record is from RefSeq and is a predicted model, not a curated record. Lineage: Eukaryota; Metazoa; Chordata; Actinopteri; Cypriniformes; Xenocyprididae. The transcript is spliced from 3 exons.